This 460-nucleotide ribosomal RNA is filed under the name uncultured bacterium. Its description in RNAcentral is "partial 16S ribosomal RNA". It matches the Rfam family "Bacterial small subunit ribosomal RNA", at positions 338 to 795 of the family's 1533-position model. The record is from RNAcentral.
CCUACGGGAGACAGCAGUGAGGAAUAUUGGUCAAUGGGCGCUAGCCUGAACCAGCCAAGUAGCGUGAAGGAUGACUGCCCUAUGGGUUGUAAACUUCUUUUAUAUGGGAAUAAAGUGCAGUAUGUAUACUGCUUUGCAUGUACCUUAUGAAUAAGGAUCGGCUAACUCCGUGCCAGCAGCCGCGGUAAUACGGAGGAUCCGAGCGUUAUCCGGAUUUAUUGGGUUUAAAGGGAGCGUAGGCGGGUUGUUAAGUCAGUUGUGAAAGUUUGCGGCUCAACCGUAAAAUUGCAGUUGAUACUGGCAGCCUUGAGUACAGUAGAGGUAGGCGGAAUUCGUGGUGUAGCGGUGAAAUGCUUAGAUAUCACGAAGAACUCCGAUUGCGAAGGCAGCCUGCUGGACUGUAACUGACGCUGAUGCUCGAAAGUGUGGGUAUCAAACAGGAUUAGAUACCCUGGUAGUC